AUCAUUAUUGAAUUUUAAACUGAGUGGGGUUGUUGCUGGCCUAUAUGGGCAUGUGCACACCUCAUUUUAUCCAACCUUUACCCCACUGUGCACUUUCUCAUGGGCUGAAUAUUUGCAAAGUUGUUCUUAAUUGAGCAAUGGAAGCGAUGUUUGUUCCAUGUGUUUUUAAUACAAUACACAUAUUUGUUAUAGAAUGUAAACAUGCAGUGCAUUUAAUGCAUAUAAUAUAACUUUCAGCAACGGAUCUCUUGGCUCUCGCAUCGAUGAAGAACGCAGCGAAAUGCGAUAAGUAAUGUGAAUUGCAGAAUUCAGUGAAUCAUCGAAUCUUUGAACGCACCUUGCGCUCCUUGGUAUUCCGAGGAGCAUGCCUGUUUGAGUGUCAUGGUAAAUUCUCACUUCAUUUAUGUUUUGCAUAUUUUGAAGUGGAUGUGGAGGAUUGUGCUGGCAUCUUGCAAAUGGUUGUUCUGUUUUCAAGAAAAUCUGGCUCCUCUGAAAUGCAUUAGCUUGAAUGUUGACCAAGCAUAAUAUCUCAGCGUGAUAAUUUGUCUGCGUUGUGAAUGUUUUGGUCUAUAUGUUAAUAUAGCAUUUAAGCUUCCAAUGGUCUUUUUAUUAAGACAGCAAUCAUAACUGAUAAUAGUUUAUGAACAUUGACCUCAAAUCAGGUAGGACUACCCGCUGAACUUAAGCAUAUCAAUAAGCGGAGGAAAAGAAACUAACAAGGAUUCCCCUAGUAACUGCGAGUGAAGCGGGAAAAGCUCAAAUUUAAAAUCUGGCAGCUUUGGCUGUCCGAGUUGUAGUCUGGAGAAGCAUUUUCUGUGUUGGACCAUGUACAAGUCUCCUGGAAUAGAGCAUCAUAGAGGGUGAGAAUCCCGUCUUUGACAUGGACUGCCAAUGCUUUGUGAUGUGCUCUCAAAGAGUCGAGUUGUUUGGGAAUGCAGCUCAAAAUGGGUGGUAAAUUCCAUCUAAAGCUAAAUAUUGGCGAGAGACCGAUAGCGAACAAGUACCGUGAGGGAAAGAUGAAAAGCACUUUGGAAAGAGAGUUAAAUAGUACGUGAAAUUGCUGAAAGGGAAACACUUGAAGUCAGUCGCAUGAAUCAAAACUCAGCCUGGCAUUUUUGUCUGGUGUAUUUUUUGGUUUAUGGGCCAGCAUCAAUUUUGACUGCUGGAAAAAGGCCAGGGGAAUGUGGCACCUUUUGGUGUGUUAUAGCCCUUGGUUGCAUACAGUGGUUGGGAUUGAGGAUUUCAGCAUGCCUUUAUGGAAGGGGUUCGCCCACAUUCAUGCUUAGGAUGCUGGCGUAAUGGCUUUAAAUGACCCGUCUUGAAACACGGACCAAGGAGUCCAACAUGCCUGCAAGUGUUUGGGUGGAAAACCCGAGCGCGCAAUGAAAGUGAAAGUUGGGAUCCCUGUCAUGGGAAGCACCGACGCCCGGACCAGACCUUUUGUGAUGGAUCCGCGGUAGAGCAUGUAUGUUGGGACCCGAAAGAUGGUGAACUAUGCCUGAAUAGGGUGAAGCCAGAGGAAACUCUGGUGGAGGCUCGUAGCGAUUCUGACGUGCAAAUCGAUCGUCAAAUUUGGGUAUAGGGGCGAAAGACUAAUCGAACCAUCUAGUAGCUGGUUCCUGCCGAAGUUUCCCUCAGGAUAGCAGAAACUCAUGUCAGAUUUAUGUGGUAAAGCGAAUGAUUAGAGGCCUUGGGGUUGAAACAACCUUAACCUAUUCUCAAACUUUAAAUAUGUAAGAACGAGCCGUCACUUAA
RNAcentral lists this ribosomal RNA (1755 nucleotides) under Loweomyces fractipes. Its description in RNAcentral is "eukaryotic LSU rRNA". The stretch from base 649 to 1755 matches the Rfam family "Eukaryotic large subunit ribosomal RNA", at positions 1 to 1094 of the family's 3401-position model. Lineage: Eukaryota; Fungi; Basidiomycota; Agaricomycetes; Polyporales; Steccherinaceae. The record is from RNAcentral.